This 29-nucleotide non-coding RNA is filed under the name Mus musculus (house mouse). The record is from RNAcentral. Lineage: Eukaryota; Metazoa; Chordata; Mammalia; Rodentia; Muridae.
UAUGGUUCAUGCCCUACAGUAUAAACAAC